Molecule: RNase P RNA, 379 nt
Filed under: Egibacter rhizosphaerae
Lineage: Bacteria; Bacillati; Actinomycetota; Nitriliruptoria; Egibacterales; Egibacteraceae
Description: Bacterial RNase P class A
Rfam family: Bacterial RNase P class A
About the family: Ribonuclease P (RNase P) is a ubiquitous endoribonuclease, found in archaea, bacteria and eukarya as well as chloroplasts and mitochondria. Its best characterised activity is the generation of mature 5'-ends of tRNAs by cleaving the 5'-leader elements of precursor-tRNAs. Cellular RNase Ps are ribonucleoproteins.
Source: Rfam by way of RNAcentral
GGAGUCGGCCAGGCGGCCGCGGCGGCCCGCUUGUCGGGUCGCCGAGGAAAGUCCGGACUCCAGAGGGCAGGACGCUGGGUAACACCCAGGCGCGGGCAACCGCGCGGGACAAGCCAACAGAGAGCAGACCGCCGAACGGCGCCCUCCGGGCGCGCGUGGCAAGGGUGAAAGGGUGCGGUAAGAGCGCACCGGCGCCGCUGGAGACAGCGGCGGCCAGGGAGCCCCGUCCGGAGCAAGGCCAAGCAGGCGCGAUACGAGGUGGCCCGCCCAGCGCCAGGUAGGCCGCACCGAGCCGGGACGGCAACGUCCCGGCCCAGAGAGAUGGCCGCCACCCGUCACCGCACGGGCACAGAAUCCGGCUUAUCGGCCGGCUCCCUCC